CUGACGAGUGGCGGACGGGUGAGUAAUGCUUGGGAAUCUGGCUUAUGGAGGGGGAUAACGACGGGAAACUGUCGCUAAUACCGCGUAUUAUCGGAAGAUGAAAGUGCGGGACUGAGAGGCCGCAUGCCAUAGGAUGAGCCCAAGUGGGAUUAGGUAGUUGGUGGGGUAAAGGCCUACCAAGCCUGCGAUCUCUAGCUGGUCUGAGAGGAUGGCCAGCCACACUGGAACUGAGACACGGUCCAGACUCCUACGGGAGGCAGCAGUGGGGAAUAUUGCGCAAUGGGGGGAACCCUGACGCAGCCAUGCCGCGUGAAUGAAGAAGGCCUUAGGGUUGUAAAGUUCUUUCGGUAUUGAGGAAGGUUGAUGUGUUAAUAGCACAUCAAAUUGACGUUAAAUACAGAAGAAGCACCGGCUAACUCCGUGCCAGCAGCCGCGGUAAUACGGAGGGUGCGAGCGUUAAUCGGAAUAACUGGGCGUAAAGGGCACGCAGGCGGUUAUUUAAGUGAGGUGUGAAAGCCCCGGGCUUAACCUGGGAAUUGCAUUUCAGACUGGGUAACUAGAGUACUUUAGGGAGGGGUAGAAUUCCACGUGUAGCGGU
RNAcentral lists this ribosomal RNA (598 nucleotides) under Haemophilus influenzae. RNAcentral's name for it is "bacterial SSU rRNA". It matches the Rfam family "Bacterial small subunit ribosomal RNA", at positions 88 to 682 of the family's 1533-position model. The record is from RNAcentral. Lineage: Bacteria; Pseudomonadati; Pseudomonadota; Gammaproteobacteria; Pasteurellales; Pasteurellaceae.